UUUUAUGAGAGUUUGAUCCUGGCUCAGGAUGAACGCUGGCGGCAUGCCUAAGACAUGCAAGUCGUACGAAGAAGCCUAUUGAAGAUUGAGUGCUUGCACAAGAUUGGAUUUAGAUACUUCUUAGUGGCAGACGGGUGAGUAACACGUAGGUAAUCUACCUCGAAGACUGGGACAACGUUUGGAAACGAACGCUAAUACCGGAUAAUUCGUAAACGGAAAACUGUUUAUGCUAAAAGGUGCUUCGGCAUCACUUCGAGAUGAGCUUG
This 266-nucleotide non-coding RNA is filed under the name Firmicutes bacterium CAG:884. RNAcentral's name for it is "Bacterial small subunit ribosomal RNA". It matches the Rfam family "Bacterial small subunit ribosomal RNA", at positions 1 to 233 of the family's 1533-position model. The record is from Rfam by way of RNAcentral. Lineage: Bacteria; Bacillati; Bacillota.